Molecule: non-coding RNA, 360 nt
Organism: Geosporobacter subterraneus DSM 17957
Lineage: Bacteria; Bacillati; Bacillota; Clostridia; Peptostreptococcales; Thermotaleaceae
Source: Rfam
GGGGGCGUACUGGUUUCGACGGGGGUAUGGAGUCAGGAGUAGCGAGUGGAGGUUUUUCCUUGGGGUCCGCCUUAAAAAACUGGGGAAUUAAAGAUAAACGCAAACGAAAAUUACGCUUUAGCAGCUUAAUAUAGCUGCUCGUCCUGCCCAGGCUGCCUACGGCUUGGAACCAGGGCGUCAACAUAGUAGGGAACUGCGCUGAGGGUGUCUCGACUCAACCGCGGAUAAAUUGGGACUGGUCAAAAGCAUAGCCUGUCAUUGGGCGCUGCCGGAGAUGAGAAACUAAAACAAUGACUGCACUCGGAGAAGCUGCUGGUAAAGUGCUUUCGGACAGGGGUUCGACUCCCCUCGCCUCCACCA